GUUAACCCUGACCCUGACCCCUAACCCUAGACUACACAUCUCAUACCAGUAGGUUAACCCUGACCCCUGACUUUAGACUACACAUCUCAUACCAGUAGGUUAACCCUGACCCCUAACCCUAGACUACACAUCCCAUACCAGUAGGUUAACCCUGACCCCUAACCCUAGACUACACAUCUCAUACCAGUAGGUUAACCCUGACCCCUGACCCCUAACCCUAGACUACACAUCCCAUACCAGUAGGUUAACCCUGACCCUGACCCCUAACCCUAGACUACACAUCUCAUACCAGUAGGUUAACCCUGACCCCUGACCCUAGACUACACAUCUCAUACCAGUAGGUUAACCCUGACCCCUGACUUUAGACUACACAUCUCAUACCAGUAGGUUAACCCUGACCCCUAACCCUAGACUACACAUCUCAUACCAGUAAGUUAUGUACAAGCGUAACUGGUAGGAUCUGAACCCCAACUCGGAAAACCAAAGUCUUA
This 491-nucleotide long non-coding RNA is filed under the name Salmo salar (Atlantic salmon). Its description in RNAcentral is "lncRNA (ENSSSAG00000083374.1, ENSSSAG00000103203.1)". Lineage: Eukaryota; Metazoa; Chordata; Actinopteri; Salmoniformes; Salmonidae. The record is from RNAcentral.